This 497-nucleotide ribosomal RNA is filed under the name uncultured Streptococcus sp. RNAcentral describes it as "bacterial SSU rRNA". It matches the Rfam family "Bacterial small subunit ribosomal RNA", at positions 28 to 508 of the family's 1533-position model. Lineage: Bacteria; Bacillati; Bacillota; Bacilli; Lactobacillales; Streptococcaceae. The record is from RNAcentral.
GACGAACGCUGGCGGCGUGCCUAAUACAUGCAAGUAGAACGCUGAAGGAAGAGCUUGCUCUUCUUGGAUGAGUUGCGAACGGGUGAGUAACGCGUAGGUAACCUGCCUGGUAGCGGGGGAUAACUAUUGGAAACGAUAGCUAAUACCGCAUAAUAGUAGAUGUUGCAUGACAUUUGCUUAAAAGGUGCAAUUGCAUCGCUACCAGAUGGACCUGCGUUGUAUUAGCUAGUUGGUGAGGUAACGGCUCACCAAGGCAACGAUACAUAGCCGACCUGAGAGGGUGAUCGGCCACACUGGGACUGAGACACGGCCCAGACUCCUACGGGAGGCAGCAGUAGGGAAUCUUCGGCAAUGGACGGAAGUCUGACCGAGCAACGCCGCGUGAGUGAAGAAGGUUUUCGGAUCGUAAAGCUCUGUUGUAAGAGAAGAACGAGUGUGAGAGUGGAAAGUUCACACUGUGACGGUAUCUUACCAGAAAGGGACGGCUAACUACGUGC